GACGAACCGUGCGAACGUUGUUCGGAAUCACUGGGCGUAAAGGGUGCGUAGGCGGGUCUUUAAGUCAGGGGUGAAAUCCUGGAGCUCAACUCCAGAACUGCCUUUGAUACUAAAGAUCUUGAGUUCGGGAGAGGUGAGUGGAACUGCGAGUGUAGAGGUGAAAUUCGUAGAUAUUCGCAAGAACACCAGUGGCGAAGGCGGCUCACUGGCCCGAUACUGACGCUGAGGCACGAAAGCGUGGGGAGCAAACAGG
This 253-nucleotide ribosomal RNA is filed under the name uncultured bacterium. Its description in RNAcentral is "partial 16S ribosomal RNA". It matches the Rfam family "Bacterial small subunit ribosomal RNA", at positions 524 to 776 of the family's 1533-position model. The record is from RNAcentral.